UAGCUUAGUUGGUAGAGCACUUGCCUGGCACUCAAUAAGUCCUGGGUUUGAUCCCAG
Molecule: transfer RNA, 57 nt
Filed under: Mus musculus (house mouse)
Lineage: Eukaryota; Metazoa; Chordata; Mammalia; Rodentia; Muridae
Rfam family: tRNA
About the family: Transfer RNA (tRNA) molecules are approximately 80 nucleotides in length. Their secondary structure includes four short double-helical elements and three loops (D, anti-codon, and T loops).
Source: Rfam by way of RNAcentral